This is a long non-coding RNA of Dermochelys coriacea (leatherback sea turtle), 1750 nucleotides long. RefSeq lists it as uncharacterized. The transcript has 3 exons. NCBI's taxonomy places the organism in Eukaryota, Metazoa, Chordata, Testudines, Dermochelyidae. The record is from RefSeq and is a predicted model, not a curated record.
CCCUCCCUCUUCCAAGCGUUGGAUUGAAGGGAUUCUCCAGCGGCGGCAGCCUGUCCUCCUACCCCGGCCCCAGCGACUCCCUGGGGGCGGAUCUCUGCCUCUACAGCACUGGCGAUCAGACACCUGAGCCGGAGCCUCUCUCCCGCUACCGCUCGCAGCGUUUCCCGAGCCCGUGUGUGACCGCAGGUCCAGGAUGAGGAGGACAGAAGGUCCCAGAUGCUGCAUGAUUCCUGGCUCUGACUCUCCACAAACCUAGUAGAGUGGAGCAACUCCCCUCACCUUCACUUAUCUAUGGAUGCCACCACUAUGUCUUGGCAGGAGAAAGCUCCCUACUCAAUGGAAUCACAUGCAGAAGACAGCGGCCUACCCAGCAAGCUGCUUUCCUUCACUUCCCUACCUCAUUCAGAAUACUUUAACAACCUCUCUCGUCACCUACGUUCUGCAAUAUGGUCCUAAUCCAAGUCCAACUGAAGUAAAUGGAAAGAGUCCCACUGACUUUUGCGGACUUUGAAUCAGGCCAUAUGGCAGUAGACUAAGGGCCUAUCCACACAGAAAGUGUGUGACAAGCCAGGGUGUGAAUCUACAGGGUGCCACUCAUUAACUGGCUGUGUACACCUUGCUAGGCACAAAGUGCACUGUGGAACUUUUAGUGCACAGUAGCAGGAUCCACACAAUGACUCAGUGUGUGGCAGGCUGGCGUGAUGUAGGUUCACACCCUGGCAUGUUGUGCACUAACUCUCCAUGUAGGCAAGCCCUACCUAUGUAGCCAAGAAGAGAUGCUCAGAGUAGCAAGGAACACUUUUCACCUGGGACUUCUGGUACAGCAAGCAGGGAAUGGGGAAGAUGGGAGGUCUCUGGAGGAGGGAGGAGGAGCCAUAAAGGGAUAGGAAGAGAUAUGGUAAGGAAGAACUAGGGGAGUGAUUGGUGAGAGAGGCAACCUAGCCUCCUUGGAAGCAAUAUAUUUCUUAUGGCAUUAAACAGCAUCCUCCAACUAAGAGUAGAAAUGACCGAGAUGAGGGUAGCAGGGAUCACUCUGUUGUUGGGACUCAGUCAAUUAAUAAUCAAUCCGUAAAUAAAUUCCCAUACAAAGUAAAAUAUCUUCACCACUGUUAAUGAAAAUAUAGGUGAAAUUUUUCAAAGCUGGGGCCAAAUAUUGCAAAUACAGAUACCUAAACUUAGGCAUCCAAAUCCACUUUAAGGCUCUUAAAUAGCCCCCAGCAAUUUUCAGAUCAUCUGAGCACUGCAGCUCCUAUUAUCUUCAGUGGGAGUUGUGGCUGCCCAGCACUUCGGAAAUUCAGGCCAGUUUUAUAUAGGUACCUAAAUGUCUAUUUAGAUGUUUAACUUUAGACACCCAACUUUGAAAAUGUUUGCUUUACUAUAGGACGGAUACAGUAUUUUUACAUAGUUUAAGAGCGGCCCAGUAAAAAGCACUUUUUUGGUAGGAAAAUGUAUAAAAUUGUACUGUUAAUGGAACAGAUUCCUCAUUUUUAGUAUGUUCAAGAGAUUUUGUCAACAAAAGUAAUAUGUACAUUAAAAUGAAGAUUAAACUAAAAGGAUUUAAUGUACAUGUAAAUUUGUUCUUUCCUACCUUCAUUUUGAACAUCUAAAUUGAAAAUCAGCAUUUUCAAAGCUCUCACUAAUCUUUCAUUAUUAUGUUAAAGAAAUUUUCUCCCCACACUUUUUUUUGGGGGGGGCGGCAGAGCUUUAUAUUACGAAUCAUUAAAUCACCAAAAAUUAUGUCACUAAUAAU